UUGAACGCUGGCGGCAUGCCUUACACAUGCAAGUCGAACGGCAGCGGGGACUUCGGUCCGCCGGCGAGUGGCGAACGGGUGAGUAAUGUAUCGGAACGUACCUUUCAGUGGGGGAUAACGUAGCGAAAGUUACGCUAAUACCGCAUAUUCUGUGAGCAGGAAAGCAGGGGAUCGCAAGACCUUGCGCUGAUUGAGCGGCCGAUAUCAGAUUAGCUAGUUGGUGAGGUAAAGGCUCACCAAGGCGACGAUCUGUAGCGGGUCUGAGAGGAUGAUCCGCCACACUGGAACUGAGACACGGUCCAGACUCCUACGGGAGGCAGCAGUGGGGAAUUUUGGACAAUGGGGGCAACCCUGAUCCAGCCAUGCCGCGUGAGUGAAGAAGGCCUUCGGGUUGUAAAGCUCUUUCGGCCGGGAAGAAAUCGUAUGGGCUAAUACCCUGUGCGGAUGACGGGUACCGGCAUAAGAAGCACCGGCUAACUACGUG
Molecule: ribosomal RNA, 484 nt
Filed under: uncultured bacterium
Lineage: Bacteria
Description: bacterial SSU rRNA
Rfam family: Bacterial small subunit ribosomal RNA
Source: RNAcentral